RNAcentral lists this long non-coding RNA (711 nucleotides) under Mytilus galloprovincialis (Mediterranean mussel). The record is from RNAcentral. Lineage: Eukaryota; Metazoa; Mollusca; Bivalvia; Mytilida; Mytilidae.
CUGAUUGUCAAUUUCACCUGCUUUAUCAUUGAUCGAUAUCGUUUUACUCUGUUUAAUAAACAAAAUUGAUGGAAACACUAACAUGCUAAAUUCUUUGAAUGUUUUGAUUUUGACAAGACGCCAUUUUGUGAAAAGAUUUUAAACUGGUCCUUCGAUUAAUUUCCUUGUAAUGCAUUCCAAAAUAGUAAACCAGUAAACCAGAAGUAAACUUAUUUUUCUUAGUAUAAGCCUCCUUUAAUUAGGAGCACCUCCAUAUGAAGUUUAACCUUAACUUAAAAAAUAUCCAAUAUAUGUACACGUUACAGUAUAUAUACAUAAACGAUAAUAGUGCCAUGAAUGGCAUAUUUACAGGGACCUUUUAAAUAGAAAUACAGGCGGGAAAUUUAAAAACUCAAAAUGUUUUAAAACAUUACACUUUUAUUGAUUGCUGUCUUGAGCUCUGAUUCCAUCAACAACUGUCAGUCCAUACUUUACCAAUGCAAUAUAACCAUGCAUUUCCCUUUCUUUGAUUCGUAGCAUAAUUUAUGUGCCCUUUUGUUAAUCUUUUGCAUGCUCUAGGUGCCCUUUUUUAUUGGAGUUACCAUUCCCACUGUGUGGUAGGGGAAACACUAAUUUUUGUACUCUUUAUUCUGACAAAACACAAGCAUAGAUAGAUGUCAUCAAAUAAAACAGUCAGAUAUGUUUUAGUUUUUUUUCAAAGCAAAUUUCUAU